GACGAACGCUGGCGGCGUGCUUAACACAUGCAAGUCGAACGGAAAGGCGCUGCUGUUACCUUGUGCCCGAGUAGCGAACUUGUGAUUAACACCUGAGUAACCUGCCCUUGACAUUGUGAUAACUUCAGGAAACUGGGGCUAAUACAGGAUAGGUGCUCCUGCUGCAUAGUGGGGGAUGGCAAGUUUCGGCGGUUGGGGCUGGAUUCGCGGGUUAUCAGCUUGUUGGUGGGGUAGUGGCUUACCAAGGCUUUGACGGGUAGCCGGCCUGACAGGGUGACCGGCCACAUAGGGAGGGAGAUCGGCCCAGACUACUACGGGAGGCAGCAGUGGGGAAUAUUGCACAAUGGGCGGAAGCCUGAUGCAGCAACGCCGCGUGCGGGAUGACGGGCUUCGGGUUGUAAACCGCUUUCGCCUGUGACGAAGCGUGAGUGACGGUAAUGGGUAAAGAAGCACCGGCUAACUACGUG
This 467-nucleotide ribosomal RNA is filed under the name uncultured bacterium. RNAcentral's name for it is "partial 16S ribosomal RNA". It matches the Rfam family "Bacterial small subunit ribosomal RNA", at positions 28 to 507 of the family's 1533-position model. The record is from RNAcentral.